AUUUGGUUAAUGUGUGUGCGUAAGGGAUUGCAGCGGCAUCCUUUAUUUUUUUCUUUAAAAAAAUAAAGAUAUAGCGAAAAGCCCGACCCGAG
RNAcentral lists this small RNA (92 nucleotides) under Flavobacterium sp. FPG59. RNAcentral's name for it is "Flavo-1 RNA". It matches the Rfam family "Flavo-1 RNA". Lineage: Bacteria; Pseudomonadati; Bacteroidota; Flavobacteriia; Flavobacteriales; Flavobacteriaceae. The record is from Rfam by way of RNAcentral.